Molecule: long non-coding RNA, 625 nt
Organism: Aphis gossypii (cotton aphid)
Lineage: Eukaryota; Metazoa; Arthropoda; Insecta; Hemiptera; Aphididae
Exons: 3
Source: RefSeq, a predicted model, not a curated record
UUUUUCAACCAUGCAAUGAUGAUGAUAGUAUAUUACCGUGAUUAAUUUUCAUAAUAAUCCAGUUGAACAAGUAUCUAAGGUGGUAGAGGUUGACGUUAAAGAUCUUUUAACUGCUCUAAGUAAGCGUAUAAUUGCAGCCAAUGGAGAAGUAUUGCAAAAAGCUCACACUUUAUCGCAGACUGAAUAAAGGAAGAGAUGCAUUAGCAAAAGCAAUUUAUAAUCGGUUGUUCGCUUAGAAUUUAGAUAGUUAGUAGGGUCAAUGAAGCAUUAAUACCAUAUAUUGAAAAUGAUAAGUACAAAGGAGGAACUGUAAUUGGAGUAUAAGAUAUUUAUGGAUUUGAAGUAUUUGAACAAAAUAGCUUUGAACAAUUUUAUAUUAAUUACUGAAACGAAAAUUUCCAACACGUAUUCAUAGGUAUUUUUGAUAAAGAAUCAUUAAUUUUUAAUUUGUGAUCUUGUGGAAAAGCCACAUAAAGGCAUGAUUGCAAUUAUGGAUGAAGCUUGUCUGAAUGUAGGAAAAGUAAACGACGAAAUGUUAUUAGAAGCCAUGGAUUCAAAACUUUCUAACCAUAAAGAUUAUUCAAUUAGGCAGGUGAAUACAUAGGAUAAAGAUUUGAAACAUGAC